ACCUGGCUGGCUCACUGGUAGAGCAUAAGACUCUUGAUCUCAGAAUUGUGAGUUCAAGCCCCAUGCUGGAUG
This 72-nucleotide transfer RNA is filed under the name Canis lupus familiaris (dog). It matches the Rfam family "tRNA". Rfam says of the family: Transfer RNA (tRNA) molecules are approximately 80 nucleotides in length. Their secondary structure includes four short double-helical elements and three loops (D, anti-codon, and T loops). Lineage: Eukaryota; Metazoa; Chordata; Mammalia; Carnivora; Canidae. The record is from Rfam by way of RNAcentral.